This 253-nucleotide ribosomal RNA is filed under the name uncultured bacterium. RNAcentral describes it as "partial 16S ribosomal RNA". It matches the Rfam family "Bacterial small subunit ribosomal RNA", at positions 524 to 776 of the family's 1533-position model. The record is from RNAcentral.
UACGUAGGGGGCUAGCGUUGUCCGGAAUCAUUGGGCGUAAAGAGCGUGUAGGCGGCCCGGUAAGUCCGCUGUGAAAGUCGGGGGCUCAACCCUCGAAUGCCGGUGGAUACUGUCGGGCUAGAGUGCGGAAGAGGCGAGUGGAAUUCCUGGUGUAGCGGUGAAAUGCGCAGAUAUCAGGAGGAACACCGAUUGCGAAGGCAGCUCGCUGGGACGUCACUGACGCUGAGACGCGAAAGCGUGGGGAUCGAACAGG